UGGACACUUCAACAGGAUCUUGGGAGAACUGACAGUGCGCAACAACACUGAGCCAGCUAAAAUGACGAUGCAAUUCCUCGCAAGCAACCCAGAGAAACGUCCCUUCUGGGUGUUGUAUGCUGAUUAUGACACCUGCGCCAUUAUUUAUCGCUGCAUGCAGCGUAUCGUGUAUCACACAAUGUACUCUUGGAUUCUGUGUCGCAACCAUGGAGUCUCUGAACUUCAACUCGC
Molecule: long non-coding RNA, 231 nt
Organism: Ornithodoros turicata
Lineage: Eukaryota; Metazoa; Arthropoda; Arachnida; Ixodida; Argasidae
Exons: 3
Source: RefSeq, a predicted model, not a curated record